GAUGAACGCUGGCGGCGUGCCUAAUACAUGCAAGUCGAACGAAACUUCUUUAUCACCGAGUGCUUGCACUCACCGAUAAAGAGUUGAGUGGCGAACGGGUGAGUAACACGUGGGCAACCUGCCCAAAAGAGGGGGAUAACACUUGGAAACAGGUGCUAAUACCGCAUAACCAUAGUUACCGCAUGGUAACUAUGUAAAAGGUGGCUAUACUACCGCUUUUGGAUGGGCCCGCGGCGCAUUAGCUAGUUGGUAGGGUAAAGGCUUACCAAGGCAAUGAUGCGUAGCCGAAUUGAGAGGUUGAUCGGCCACAUUGGGACUGAGACACGGCCCAAACUCCUACGGGAGGCAGCAGUAGGGAAUCUUCCACAAUGGGCGAGAGCCUGAUGGAGCAACGCCGCGUGGGUGAAGAAGGUCUUCGGAUCGUAAAACCCUGUUGUUAGAGAAGAAAGUGCGUGAGAGUAACUGUUCACGUUUCGACGGUAUCUAACCAGAAAGCCACGGCUAACUACGUG
This 512-nucleotide ribosomal RNA is filed under the name uncultured bacterium. Its description in RNAcentral is "partial 16S ribosomal RNA". It matches the Rfam family "Bacterial small subunit ribosomal RNA", at positions 28 to 507 of the family's 1533-position model. The record is from RNAcentral.